RNAcentral lists this ribosomal RNA (844 nucleotides) under Tubeufia guangxiensis. RNAcentral describes it as "eukaryotic LSU rRNA". It matches the Rfam family "Eukaryotic large subunit ribosomal RNA", at positions 75 to 944 of the family's 3401-position model. Lineage: Eukaryota; Fungi; Ascomycota; Dothideomycetes; Tubeufiales; Tubeufiaceae. The record is from RNAcentral.
UUGCCUCAGUAACGGCGAGUGAAGCGGCAAUAGCUCAAAUUUGAAAUCUGCUCUUUGAGCCGAAUUGUAAUUUGUAGAGGAUGCUUCGGCUUACGUUUCGGUCUAAGUUCCUUGGAACAGGACGUCAUAGAGGGUGAGAAUCCCGUCUGUGGCCGAGACUUCCGCCAUGUGAAGCUCCUUCGACGAGUCGAGUUGUUUGGGAAUGCAGCUCUAAAUGGGAGGUAUAUUUCUUCUAAAGCUAAAUACCGGCCAGAGACCGAUAGCGCACAAGUAGAGUGAUCGAAAGAUGAAAAGCACUUUGGAAAGAGAGUUAAAAAGUACGUGAAAUUGUUGAAAGGGAAGCGUUUGCGACCAGACUUGCCCGCGGAUGCUCAACCGGUCCUUCGGCCGGUGCACUCUUCCGCGGUCAGGCCAGCAUCAGUUCGAGUAGCCAGAUAAAGGCAUUGGGAAUGUGGCUCUCUUCGGGGAGUGUUAUAGCCCUUUGUGUAAUAUGGUUCAUUUGGACUGAGGCCCGCGCUUCGGCUAGGAUGCUGGCGUAAUGGUCGUAAGCGGCCCGUCUUGAAACACGGACCAAGGAGUCUAACAUCUAUGCGAGUGUUUGGGUGUCAAACCCGUGCGCGAAAUGAAAGUGAACGGAGGUGGGAACCUUUGGGUGCACCAUCGACCGAUCCUGAUGUCUUCGGAUGGAUUUGAGUAAGAGCAUAGCUGUUGGGACCCGAAAGAUGGUGAACUAUGCCUGAAUAGGGUGAAGCCAGAGGAAACUCUGGUGGAGGCUCGCAGCGGUUCUGACGUGCAAAUCGAUCGUCAAAUUUGGGUAUAGGGGCGAAAGACUAAUCGAACCAUC